RNAcentral lists this ribosomal RNA (465 nucleotides) under uncultured bacterium. RNAcentral's name for it is "partial 16S ribosomal RNA". It matches the Rfam family "Bacterial small subunit ribosomal RNA", at positions 28 to 507 of the family's 1533-position model. The record is from RNAcentral.
GACGAACGCUGGCGGCGUGCUUAACACAUGCAAGUCGAACGGAAAGGCCCCUUCGGGGGUACUCGAGUGGCGAACGGGUGAGUAACACGUGAGUAACCUGCCCUUGACUUCGGGAUAACUUCAGGAAACUGGGGCUAAUACCGGAUAGGAAUCCUUGCUGCAUGGUGGGGGUUGGAAAGCUUCGGCGGUUUUGGAUGGACUCGCGGCUUAUCAGCUUGUUGGUGGGGUAGUGGCUUACCAAGGCUUUGACGGGUAGCCGGCCUGAGAGGGCGACCGGCCACAUUGGGACUGAGAUACGGCCCAGACUCCUACGGGAGGCAGCAGUGGGGAAUAUUGCACAAUGGGCGGAAGCCUGAUGCAGCAACGCCGCGUGCGGGAUGACGGCCUUCGGGUUGUAAACCGCUUUCAGCAGGGGCGAAGCUUGUGGUGGCGGUACCUGCAGAAGAAGCACCGGCUAACUACGUG